CCUACGGGUAGCUGCAGUGGGGAAUAUUGCACAAUGGGGGAAACCCUGAUGCAGCGACGCCGCGUGAGCGAUGAAGUAUCUCGGUAUGUAAAGCUCUAUCAGCAGGGAAGAAAAUGACGGUACCUGACUAAGAAGCCCCGGCUAACUACGUGCCAGCAGCCGCGGUAAUACGUAGGGGGCCAGCGUUAUCCGGAUUUACUGGGUGUAAAGGGAGCGUAGACGGCGAUGCAAGCCAGAUGUGAAAGCCCGGGGCUCAACCCCGGGACUGCAUUUGGAACUGUAUAGCUGGAGUGUCGGAGAGGCAGGCGGAAUUCGUAGUGGAGCGGUGAAAUGCGUAGAUAUCAGGAGGAACACCAGUGGAGAAGGCGGCCUGCUGGACGAUGACUGACGUUGAGGCUCGAAAGCGUGGGUAGCAAACAGGAUUAGAUACCCCAGUAGUC
This 440-nucleotide ribosomal RNA is filed under the name uncultured bacterium. Its description in RNAcentral is "partial 16S ribosomal RNA". It matches the Rfam family "Bacterial small subunit ribosomal RNA", at positions 338 to 795 of the family's 1533-position model. The record is from RNAcentral.